AUGUUAUUCAUCGUUUAUAUUGUUUAUAACAUCGUCAGUUUUUAUAUGCAUUUAAUAUUUUUAAAAAUAGUUCAAAAGCUGUCAAAAUAAAAUGGUGAAUUGAGUUUAAACCAGAAAAGAUAUAAACGUAAUCUUUUGGAUUCAACUUGUAAGGAUGUUCCAAGAACCACUUAGUUGGAGAAGGAAAACUGUGCCGUUCAUUAACAAGUCCUGUGCUUUAUAAUACAUUAAAAAAUAGAAGGACGUGAAGAAAACAAGUUUGUAAAUGAUGUUGUACAUCAUGCAGAUAGCUCAGAAAAAGAAGCAGGAAUGUUUGACUGGAAAUAUAAACGAUGUUGUACAUAAUGCAGAUAGCAAUACAUAAUACAGAUAAGCUUAGGCAAAAAAGAGAUUGGUGAAAUGGAGAAUGAGACUAACUAGGGUGAAAAAAAAUGAAUAUUAAUAUGUGAAUGGUACUUUGUUUAACAUCUACCUGUUUCUACAGAUACAGUACAGACGCAUUUAUAAAUGGGCUUGAUGUUUUUUUGAAUUAAAUAUGUUGUAUUGAUGGUUCUUUUUAACUUGUUAAAACUUGAAGUUAUUAUCAAAUUUAUAUAUACUAUUUUUAUCAAAUAGUUAAUAUAAAAUAAUAAACAUGUAAAUUGUUUUAUUUUCUGUAAAAAUUGUUUUCUUGAUAAAUUUCAAUUGUUUAUCACUAUGUAUAUCACUUAUAGUAUUAUAUUACUUGUAAUUUUUUGUUUUAUUUAUUUUCAGUAUGUUAUACAUAUGCAUGCAAUAAAUAUUGUGGGGAAGUCAAGUUUUGAUGUUUUAGGUGCAUUAUAGCUAUUAUUUUUCAAAGAUUUGUAGGAUUUAACAAGAUUUAAAUUUUAUUUUGUUUAUUGAUUUUAUUUGGAGAAAGCGAUCUCAUAGAUUAAGAGAACUCAAUAAUAGUGGGAUAAAAUUUGCUUUUAUGAUUUAAUAUGACAAUUCAAAUAACAUUAGAUAAAAAAACUUGAAAACAAAUCAUGCUUUUUUACCAUGAAAAAUCCAUAAGUUUUCCUUGGAAAGGUGUUUCUAAUACCUAUGGAAAUUCCAUGGUUUUUCCAUGGAUGGAAAAUCAUUGAUUAUCCAUGGUAUUUGGAACACUUUUCCAUGAAAAACUUGAAGAUUUUUCAUGGGAAAUUCAUGUGUUUCCCAUGAAAACUCAUGGUUUUUCCAUGGAAAACUCAUGGUUUUUCCAUGGUUUUUAUGGGAACGUGUUCCAAAUACCCAUGGUUUUUCCAUGGGUUUUUUUUCUAAAACUCCCAUGGGAAAUUUUCGUACGGUACGGAAUGUCGUUAAUUUUCAUACCAUUUACUAAAAGCUAUAUAAAUAUUGUUACAAUUUUAUAAUUCAAAUUAGUAAUUUCGAAUUUUUUUCACUGUACUGAUUUAUAUGUAAUAUUAUAUAUUAUUAAAUCAAUGAAGUUAUGAUUU
Non-coding RNA from Hydra vulgaris (swiftwater hydra), 1454 nucleotides. The record is from RefSeq and is a predicted model, not a curated record. Lineage: Eukaryota; Metazoa; Cnidaria; Hydrozoa; Anthoathecata; Hydridae.